RNAcentral lists this transfer RNA (73 nucleotides) under Nocardioides ginsengisegetis. Its description in RNAcentral is "tRNA-Ala". Lineage: Bacteria; Bacillati; Actinomycetota; Actinomycetes; Propionibacteriales; Nocardioidaceae. The record is from RNAcentral.
GGAGGCGGGCAAGUGCGGGCUCCGGCCAUUCGCAAUGAGAAGGUCAGGGGUUCGAAUCCCCUCAGCUCCACCA